AGUGAACGCUGGCGGUAGGCCUAACACAUGCAAGUCGAACGGCAGCACAGUAAGAGCUUGCUCUUACGGGUGGCGAGUGGCGGACGGGUGAGGAAUACAUCGGAAUCUACUUUUUCGGGGGGGAUAACGUAGGGAAACUUACGCUAAUACCGCAUACGACCUACGGGUGAAAGCAGGGGAUCUUCGGACCUUGCGCGGUUGAAUGAGCCGAUGUCGGAUUAGCUGGUUGGGGGGGUAAAGGCCCACCAAGGCGACGAUCCGUAGCUGGUCGGAGUGGAUGAUAAGCCACCCUGGAACUGAGACACGCUCAAGAGUACUACGGGAGGCAGCAGUGGGGAAUAGUGGACAACGGGGGCAAGCAUGAUACAGUGAUCCCGAGUGUGUGAAGACGGCCUUCGGGUCGUAAAGACCUUUUGUUGGUAAAGAAAAGCAGCCGGUUAAUACCCAGCUGUUCUGACGGUAACCAAAGAAUAAGCACCGGCUAACUUCGUG
RNAcentral lists this ribosomal RNA (492 nucleotides) under uncultured bacterium. RNAcentral describes it as "partial 16S ribosomal RNA". It matches the Rfam family "Bacterial small subunit ribosomal RNA", at positions 29 to 507 of the family's 1533-position model. The record is from RNAcentral.